Molecule: transfer RNA, 73 nt
Filed under: Corynebacterium pseudogenitalium
Lineage: Bacteria; Bacillati; Actinomycetota; Actinomycetes; Mycobacteriales; Corynebacteriaceae
Description: tRNA-Ile
Rfam family: tRNA
About the family: Transfer RNA (tRNA) molecules are approximately 80 nucleotides in length. Their secondary structure includes four short double-helical elements and three loops (D, anti-codon, and T loops).
Source: RNAcentral
GUGGAUAUAGCUCAGUCGGUAGAGCGUGCCGCUCAUAACGGCAAGGUAGCAGGUUCAACCCCUGCUAUCCGCA